UACGGAGGGUGCAAGCGUUAAUCGGAAUUACUGGGCGUAAAGCGCGCGUAGGCGGUUUUUUAAGUCGGAUGUGAAAGCCCCGGGCUCAACCUGGGAACUGCAUCCGAUACUGGAAGACUAGAAUGCGGGAGAGGGAGGUAGAAUUCCAUGUGUAGCAGUGAAAUGCGUAGAUAUACGGAGGAAUACCAGUGGCGAAGGCGGCCUCCUGGCUCGACAUUGACGCUGAGGUGCGAAAGCGUGGGGAGCAAACGGG
Molecule: ribosomal RNA, 253 nt
Filed under: uncultured bacterium
Lineage: Bacteria
Description: partial 16S ribosomal RNA
Rfam family: Bacterial small subunit ribosomal RNA
Source: RNAcentral